ACUCUUCUCUCUCCUUCCCUCCAAGAACUUCUUCCCUAACUCUGUCUCUUUGCCGCACCUCUCUUUCUCCUGCCUCCACGGCAGCUCUCUGGCCUUUAGAGGCUGCAUUCACUGCUCAUAAAUUUAAGACCAGACAAAGCUGCUCUUUUGAUGGACCUAGAAGGUGGCAUUCCUGCUUUCAUCCCCAGCCGCUGACACUACCCAACCUCAAAGGCAAAGAGCUUGGCCUCCUGACACUUGCCUGUCUUCAUGUUUUAGGAAGAAGAGAGCAGAAUUGGAGCAUGGGGGGUUAGGACCAGAAACCACAGCUGCGACCAGCUGCAGCCAGCUUGCGUCUGGGCAAAAACAUGGACCUAGGCUUCCUCCCUGUGGGGUUGGCCAUGCAGGACCUGGGAGAAGAGGGUGACCUGGUUAUCUUCCCCAGCUGGGAUAAAUUCCUAUCAGAAGGGGCAGAGCGGUGGAGGUAUGGUAUCCAGGAAGAGAAUAGAGGGGCCUCUUGCCAAACACCCACUGCAUCAGGUGUAAUAUGGGUGUGAAUGCCUGCAGUUCUCAGGAGCCAGGAGAUGCAGAGACAGAGCCCCACCCAGCAGCUGGCACUGUGCAGCUAGGCAGACUUGCUGCCUUGUGAGCAAGCUGGCCAUGGCAGUUUCUGCAGGCCUUCUCAGUGAAGACAGCCACAUCCAGGCCACAACCUGUGCAUUCGCAGAGGUGAAUUCUAACCAGACAAGAAGACAUCCCACAGCUCUUUUUGCUGGCAGCACUUGAGAAACUUCCAAACCCCUCUCCAAGCCAAAUGAGACCUGGGAUCCCUGCGUUUCAGGUGUGCUGAGGAGGAGGAAGCAGGUGCAUCCUCCAGGGCUUGGGUGUGAUUUAUCAUUGUCAUCAGCUUGCAUUCAUAUUCCUUUUCAAUUCUGCAGCACCUUCUGCAAUGCUGCUUCCUGCUAGGCUGGUCACCACUCUUUUCCCCCAAUCAACAGACUCACUUCUUAUUCCAAGUCUGCAUGUCUCUGCUCAUUCCUCUGCUUGGAAACGCCCUGCCCCAGUGCUGCUCCAAGGCCUCUUCUGAGUUUCAGCUAAGGCUGAGCAACAUCCUCUGACCUCUGGAGCUACAUAGGGCCCUUACCUGUCUCAGAGUUCCCAAAGCAGGUGCAUCUGCAUCCUUCACCAGGGUCCCUUACUAAAAUCUGCUUUGAGCUUACUACUUAACUAGUUCCUCUGAAUGCCUUGUCCGCUCAACCUGAUGGCAAGCUCUUGGAGGGAAAGGCAGAAUGUGACAUUUCUUUCCUGUCCUUCUCAAGCCCGAGCCUGCACUGACCCAGGAGGAAGCACUCAAUGGAUGAUUAGAGAAUGGGUGAAAGAAUGGAGAGCCAGCACCAAGGAUGUUCAUUUGUCCAGAGAAUUAGCAUGGCUGCAAGCCUUGUGGGGAAGCAAUUAAACAGACAGGGGUCCUGCCCUUCAGGGAUUUAUAAACUAACAGAGACAAGGUGACUCUGAUAGAGAAUGUAGAAGCAUUCAGAGGAAUGAGCAGGUGCUAGAUAAACAGUUAAGUGUUUGCUUUAUGUGCAAGCAAAGGGGCAAGCAUAUGUGGGGUGCUGGAAGAAUAAAAAGGGAAUCUCAAAUGUGAGCUCAUUCGUUUAGUCAUUCAACAAAGGCUUCUAAGU
Molecule: non-coding RNA, 1661 nt
Organism: Macaca mulatta (Rhesus monkey)
Lineage: Eukaryota; Metazoa; Chordata; Mammalia; Primates; Cercopithecidae
Source: RefSeq, a predicted model, not a curated record